AGGGACCUGACAGGUAGACAAAUAAGCCUUCACCUGUUUGUAUGCCUCCAGUCUCCAAUCAAAUAAUAACAUCUCUACCAACAAGCCUUCUUCAAAUCUUGUAAUGCAAACUGUUGACUAUAAUGAUAUAAAAUAGCAAAUUUUUAUGUUUUACUUUGUUGUUUGUGUGUUUGCAUGAGUGGGGGAGUGCGCAUGUGUUGGAGUUAGAAACGAGGUGAACUGAGUUACUUAAAAUUAACUAUUGUCUUAUUUGUAAUCUGUGAUUUUCACUUUCAGAGUAUUUUACGAGUAGAAGAACAAGGCCAUCAUCUUCAUUAAACUGGACACGUGAUCAGAAGCGACAAUUGGAUCCAUCACCAGAAAUGCUUUACACUCAAUUCUUUAAGAGGAAACAGCAUGGAACACCUGGACGGUGGAGGCAGACCUACACACCCCAAACUACACCCCAGAGCACUCAAGAAACAGGCUCAAAACAAAUAGGAGAAGAUCAAAUAAUCACUGUCAUCAUCCUGCCGACCAUCAUUACCUGGAAGCUGUUCCACUGUGACCUCAUCGUAAUAUCUGUCAUCGUCCACAUGGUCGGGCAAGGCGCACCGGUACAUUGUGCCGCGGUCCUCAGUAGCCAACGACACCAGCAACGCCCGCCGUGACAUCACCCUGCAGCCGUCAUUGGUGAAGUACUCGACUUCCGCCUGGCCCUCGGCGAUCUGGAAGUGACGCAUGUCUGGUGCUUUCACGUACCACUGGAACUCCUGCGGCGGGAGGCCGGCAUCCGCGUGACAGCUCAGCCGCCAGGUGGCUCUCCUGUGUCCGGGAGUUUCGUGAUCAUACGUCACUCGGGGAGUCCCUGGAGGCUCUGAAGAAUAUGAAAGAGUUACGUGUUCACGUGCAACAUACGUCGCAACUGAAGGUCUGUGUACUCCGAGGAGUCCUCAGUAGCACCGAAGACUCCACGACACCGGUAUGUCCCCAUGUCGGCACAGGUGAGGGCGCAACCACGAGGUUGAACUCCACCAG
Pomacea canaliculata is the source of this 1017-nucleotide long non-coding RNA. RefSeq lists it as uncharacterized. Lineage: Eukaryota; Metazoa; Mollusca; Gastropoda; Architaenioglossa; Ampullariidae. The transcript is spliced from 3 exons. The record is from RefSeq and is a predicted model, not a curated record.